Non-coding RNA from Ictidomys tridecemlineatus (thirteen-lined ground squirrel), 464 nucleotides. The record is from RefSeq and is a predicted model, not a curated record. Lineage: Eukaryota; Metazoa; Chordata; Mammalia; Rodentia; Sciuridae.
UUGUACCUCUGAAAGAACCUCUUCACUGAUUCCUGCUUCUUCUCUUGCUUCUCCUUUAUCUGGAUCAGUUAUAGCAUGCAAGAGUUGCUGGUUCAAAUGUUAAGUGAGAUUGCAUCAGCCUCCUGGUCAAAACCCUUAGUGGCUUUAAGCAGAGUAGAAUCCCAAACUCUCACAGCUACCAGAGCAAACUCAGUGAUAUGGGAUCUCAGUGAUGUGGAACCCUGGUCUUCCUAUUGCUCCCACUCUUCCAGGUGCACCUCACUCUAUAUGGGAACAUGCACAACAGGGUACAGUUCCCUUACUAUUGAUGUGGAGAAAAACAUAAACAAAGCUACAGUAAAGCACUUUUUCAGAGGUUGAGAAAAGCCAGCAUAAGCACAAGAGAGAGUCAGGCACUCUGACAGAAGCAACUUCCCUGAGAGCCAUUAAGAUCAUCUGAAAUAAAAUGUAAUUUGCUGACAGAA